GGAUGUGAGGGCGAUCUGGCUGUUACAUCUGUCAACCCACUGAUCUCCAGGGUUAGGCUGGCUAGGCAGGUGUCCCCGUCCUCCCUCACCGCUCCACGAGCUUGCCUGCUGAAGCUGUGACCUUGAUCUUAGAGGAUGACCAUCCCUGUUAGAGGAGAACUGUCCUUGGUCAAGUGUAUGCGAGCAGCUGCACUCCCCUCCUAGAACCUUUAGACCCUGACACUGAAUUUAUUGUAUUUAAUGUACGAAAAGUUAUGGUGAAGAAUCGUAGAAGAUACCAGAAAUCUGCGAAAUGCUGGUGAUGUCUGUAAUGCAGCUAUGU
Molecule: unclassified non-coding RNA, 322 nt
Organism: Ochotona princeps (American pika)
Lineage: Eukaryota; Metazoa; Chordata; Mammalia; Lagomorpha; Ochotonidae
Gene: 7SK
Rfam family: 7SK RNA
About the family: 7SK was discovered as an abundant small nuclear RNA in the mid-70s but a possible function has only recently been suggested. Two independent studies have found that 7SK RNA binds the CDK9/cyclin T complex (known as elongation factor P-TEFb).
Source: Ensembl